This is a long non-coding RNA of Frieseomelitta varia, 433 nucleotides long. RefSeq lists it as uncharacterized. The record is from RefSeq and is a predicted model, not a curated record. Lineage: Eukaryota; Metazoa; Arthropoda; Insecta; Hymenoptera; Apidae. The transcript has 3 exons.
CUGUAGAAAUAAGAAUUUAUAAAGAUGACGAAUAUUAAAAACUAAGAAAAACACAUUGAUUUGUUUACUAUCAAGUAUCGAUAAUUAAUGAGAAGCGAUAGUUUUUUUAUGAAGAUAAUUUUUGUCGUGUGAAAAUUUGCUGCUCGUUACAAAAAUGCACAUUAUAUACAAGGAAUAUAUACAGCGAUGUUUCCGAGUUUAAAAAAGUAAAUUGAAUUGCAAGAAUGUGAAAUGAACAAGAAAAAAUUAUUUUGUGAUAUAUGCAUAAAAAUUGUACAACUUGUAAAAAUGUACAUUAAUAUACAUUAAAUUGAUGAAAUGAAGAAACCAUUUUCUGCAAUAUAAGACAAAAAGUAAUAAGAAGAAAAAACAACUGGUAAUAUAGGUAACUGAGCAUUAAUUGCAACAUGAAAGGCACCUUUUUUAAAUGGAU